Molecule: transfer RNA, 551 nt
Filed under: uncultured Synechococcus sp.
Lineage: Bacteria; Bacillati; Cyanobacteriota; Cyanophyceae; Synechococcales; Synechococcaceae
Description: 16S-23S ribosomal RNA intergenic spacer
Rfam family: tRNA (bases 211-283)
Source: RNAcentral
CAGGGAGACAACAAAAUGUAAAUAUUAAUUUUGUCACCUUAGGUCGAUCGGUAUCUCAGAUUCUUAAUUUUUUAAGAAUUUCAGUUUCUAAGUUUUUUCUAGGUCACACCCAUCACUUCUUCCUGGGCCAUUAGCUCAGGUGGUUAGAGCGCACCCCUGAUAAGGGUGAGGUCCCUGGUUCAAGUCCAGGAUGGCCCAUAUCUCUAUGUUGGGGGUAUAGCUCAGUUGGUAGAGCGCCUGCUUUGCAAGCAGGAUGUCAGCGGUUCGAGUCCGCUUACCUCCACUGAAUACCACCUCUUACAUAAUUUUAAAGAGGGAAAUUGUUUUGAGUCGUGUCCUAAUUUGCUCUGAGCGAAUCUAGCUUCCUAUUUUACUCAAUAAAUAAGAUGCUGGACUCAGUGAAUAUUUUUUCAUUGUUUUCAGAGAACCUUGACAACUGCAUAGAUUAUUUUUGAAGACAAUAAGCAUCUUUAAUGAUGCAGAUUUAUUAUUUGUGCGAAUGCAUUAAAUAACAAUUCUAUUAAGCUGAUGCUUCAAUUAUUGAAGUUAUU